CCUACGGGUGGCAGCAGUAGGGAAUAUUCCACAAUGGGCGAAAGCCUGAUGGAGCGACGCCGCGUGAGUGAAGAAGGGUUUCGGCUCGUAAAGCUCUGUUGGUAGUGAAGAAAGUUAGAGGUAGUAACUGCCCUUUAUUUGACGGUAAUUACUCAGAAAGUCACGGCUAACUACGUGCCAGCAGCCGCGGUAAUACAUAGGUGGCAAGCGUUGUCCGGAAUGAUUGGGCGUAAAGCGAGUGCAGGCGGUUCAGUAAGUCUGAUGUGAAAGCCCUGGGCCCAACCCGCGAAUUGCAUUAGAAACUGUUGAACUUGAGUGCAGAAGAGGUAAGUGGAACUCCAAGUGUAGCGGUGAAAUGCGUAGAUAUAUGGAAGAACACCAGUGGCGAAGGCGGCUCACUGGACUGCAACUGACGCUGAGGCUCGAAAGCGUGGGUAGCAAACAGGAUUAGAUACCCCAGUAGUC
This 465-nucleotide ribosomal RNA is filed under the name uncultured bacterium. Its description in RNAcentral is "partial 16S ribosomal RNA". It matches the Rfam family "Bacterial small subunit ribosomal RNA", at positions 338 to 795 of the family's 1533-position model. The record is from RNAcentral.